Molecule: long non-coding RNA, 1440 nt
Filed under: Equus asinus (donkey)
Lineage: Eukaryota; Metazoa; Chordata; Mammalia; Perissodactyla; Equidae
Description: lncRNA (ENSEASG00005030577.1)
Source: RNAcentral
CUGGCUUCCUCACAUGGCUGCCUUGGAAGUAAACUCUCUCUCUGCUGCGAUGUCAUCGUCUUGGUGUUUGGCUUUCUGGGCGGCGGGCAAAAACGAACCUGGUUCAGUAACAAAUGGCGAGCCAGCCAGGAGCUAAGUGCAGAUGGACCUUUUUGCCCGAGAUUCGUGAGCCCCUUUCCAGUAUGGAGGACCUGUGGGUGCGUCCAGCAGCUGCCGGGUGCAUUUCUCCUGGGACUGUUCUGGGACUCUUUCCUGGCUUGGCGCUGCCGACUGCUUGGUGCAUAGUUUCACUUUCAGUAGAGAGACAGCUUCUUGGUUUGGAAGAUGUCUUUUUGAAAUACUUCUUAUUAAAUACCUGGUUACUUGCUAACACAAUAUGGGCUGAACUUUGGGAGCCCACCUGCAUCACCGUCUCACUAAGGGACUGGUCCAAUGAGAUGGAACAACCUAUGCUCCUCACCAACAGGAUAACCCCUCAAGAUUGAAGAUGAACAACAAAAGGGGGGAUUGAUACGGGUUAACACAAGGUUAACAUAAGGGAAGCCAUAUUGUAAAGAAGAAACCAUAUUGUAACUUUGAAUGACCUCUGAUUAACUAACCCAGACAUGCUCUGUAGAUUUUAUGGACCCUGUCAGCUGCUAUAAUUUGAUAAGUUUGUUCUUUUGAGUUCCUUAGGAAUGUGAUGACCCCCAGGUAGAGAGUCUGUGCUGAUGGCCAUCAUCAUUGACAACUGAAAGAUCAGGGUAUAGGCCAUUGCUCUGGUCUCUGAUGCAUCUCCAGUAAAACAAAAGACUAUCAGAAACUGAGACCAGAUGUCUUCCCCACCUGGAGAACAGAUGGAGGCCCCACUGGGAUUAGGUCUAUUUUUCAGGGACUGUUAAAAUUUGGGUUGUCUAUACUUCUUGUCCUUCUGAUAAGCCAGGAACAUGAGAAUAUUUCCAAAUGAGUGCUAAAAAUGUCAUUCCUUUAACCCAGAUCUAUGCCCCAAUUGAGCAGGAAGUAGCUAGAUCGGUCAUCGCCCCAAAUCCCUCAAGAAUGAGAAGUGACCAAACAAUAGGGGGGAUUGAAACCAGCAAACAGCCAUUGAUGAUUAAGUAUCUAGGUACUAAAGUUUUUUCCUCUUUGCAGUUACUGAUUAUAGCUUUUAGCUGUUGAACCCAGCCAUUGGUAACUGUGCUGUUUAGGCAAUCUGCUACCUGACUCCCACCAGGGUCCUAUAGAUAACAUCUCCCUGGAGCCUGGGUCACCAUGGUAAUGGGGUGUGUGAGCUGUUUUUCAGGAAUUAGAACUCCUUGUCCACUUCAGGCCAGUUGAGGCCACCAACCUCUCAACGGGGCUCAAGCAGAUGUCUGAUAGGCAACCUUUCGACAUCAAGAGGCUAAAAACUCCACCCUCUGAUCAUGCUAAUACCGCCAUUUUGUGAACAUGGGUCCUAUGAAG